CAUGAUGAUUUUUUGUUUCCGGAAGGGGACCUGCGGAACGAUCAUU
Molecule: ribosomal RNA, 46 nt
Filed under: Solanum lycopersicum (tomato)
Lineage: Eukaryota; Viridiplantae; Streptophyta; Magnoliopsida; Solanales; Solanaceae
Description: partial 18S ribosomal RNA
Source: RNAcentral